Long non-coding RNA from Pocillopora damicornis (cauliflower coral), 175 nucleotides. The record is from RefSeq and is a predicted model, not a curated record. Lineage: Eukaryota; Metazoa; Cnidaria; Anthozoa; Scleractinia; Pocilloporidae.
GGUCAUGUUAUGGAUGAAUGUAUGGGUCUUCCAAAAGAAAAACAAGGGGAGUUUGAUGAGCUCCCUACACCUGUGGCUCAAGAAGUAGAGUUUAUUUUCAUCAGGCUGAACGUUUUACGGGAGUACCUCGAGCGUGAAUUGAGAAUGGAAGGCCUUCCUUUCCCGUAUAGCUUUG